This 1075-nucleotide long non-coding RNA is filed under the name Sus scrofa (pig). RNAcentral's name for it is "lncRNA (ENSSSCG00015020318.1)". Lineage: Eukaryota; Metazoa; Chordata; Mammalia; Artiodactyla; Suidae. The record is from RNAcentral.
UAAUUGUUCACACGGGGCAACACAGAGAAACAUUUGUCCAUAGGUAUUAAGUCCCAUAUUUCUAGAGUAAACCUGUUUCUUCAACCAAUGAUGAGCCAUCAGAAAAGCUCUAGAAAGAAAGCAAAAGACUUGGAUGCAUGCUUGAGCCAAGACGUUUUCAGCUAGAAAUGAGUCUAAGCCUAUANGGUUUGUUUUUGUUUUUUCCUACUGUAGCAACAGCUGGAAUCAAAAGUGAAGUUUAGAGGCUAUGAGGUGAGGCACAAGAAGCACCUGACACAUGCAUAGGAGGGCACCUGUUGACUUGCAUGCUUACCAACAAUGUGUCAUUAAAUUUCUUGACCAUUUCUAAUCACUAGUUGAAAAAUUAUAUCUCACUGGAGUUUUAUUUUGACUCGAUUGACUCAUAGGUUCAAGGCAUCUAUAUAUUCCUUUUCUGUGAAAUGUCCUUUACACAUUUUUCUAUUGCCAUUUAGGGCUUUUAUCAAUUUGUAGGAGUUAUUUAUAUAUUAAAGAAUUAGGACCCCCCCUUUUUUUCCUUUUUAGGGCCACACCUGCAGCAUUUGGAAGUUACCAGUCUAUGGGUCCAAUUGGAGCUGCAGCUGCAGGCCUCUGCCACAGCCACAGUGACACCAGAUCCAAGCCACAACUUCGACCUAUGCCGCAGCUUGCAGCAACGCUAGGACCUUAACCCACUGAUCGAGGCCAGGGAUUGAACCCGCAUCAUCAACAAUCCUGUGUUGGGUUCUUAACCCGAGAAGCCACAACAGAACUCCUAUCCCUUUUCUAUAGCAUUAAUGGAAGAUAAAAUCUAUUUUGUUCACAGUGAUUUCACAAUGCAUUCUUUUAAAAAUUGUCUAUACAAAAUAUUUUCUCUUUUAUGUCAUCUUAGUAUUCUGUCAUACUUAUAAAAUCUUUCAUUUUGAGAUUUAAAAAAAUCAUCCAUUUUGUGACAGAGGCUAUAGCCCACAAAUUAUCUUAUUUUUAGGCAGAGAGCCAUGCUUUUAAUUGGUCACAUCCUUGCAUCGAGUUUUGACUAUGUUAUUUUUUAUUUGUUUGUUUGCAAGUGAGAUGUAAA